RNAcentral lists this long non-coding RNA (599 nucleotides) under Solanum melongena (eggplant). RNAcentral describes it as "long non-coding RNA (SMEL_LNC000162)". Lineage: Eukaryota; Viridiplantae; Streptophyta; Magnoliopsida; Solanales; Solanaceae. The record is from RNAcentral.
UCCCAAUGAUCAAACACACAUUGUGGGAAGGCUUGACCUGAAGUAGCAGCUCUCAAGGUACCUGAAAAUCCAAAAGACUCAACAACAGGAAGGUAAGCCUUGAUGUUGUAAAGAGGAGUUCCUGGCCUCUGCAUCUCCUCAAACACGUGUCCACGCUUCUGAUUCAGAACACUAUAGAUACCACCAAGGGCUUGCUCCGGAGCCUGAAUUUCCACAAGGUAAACGGGUUCCAACAGGCGGGGUUUAGCAGUAAGCUGAGAAGCAUAGAUAACCCUCCUAGCAGUGGGAAUAACUUGGCCACCACCCCUGUGAAUAGCAUCAGAAUGAAGAACAACAUCACAGACUUCAAAGCAAAUACCUCUCAUGUUCUCUUCAGCCAAUGCACCUUCCUUCGAAGCCCACUGGAAACCAGCAACAACAGAAUCCUUAAUUUCAUUCAGGUACUGAACUCCCUUACACAUAUCCACCACCAUGUUGGGACCAGUUGUCUCAGGACCAAAGCACCAAAUCUUCUUUGCAAGAUCUUUGUCCCAGCCAAACUCCUCAGCCAAGAUCUUGGAACGAACCUUAGGGUCAUCCCUAGGGCCAAUGCGUCCCUC